RNAcentral lists this ribosomal RNA (634 nucleotides) under Reyranella sp. Its description in RNAcentral is "bacterial SSU rRNA". It matches the Rfam family "Bacterial small subunit ribosomal RNA", at positions 74 to 749 of the family's 1533-position model. The record is from RNAcentral. Lineage: Bacteria; Pseudomonadati; Pseudomonadota; Alphaproteobacteria; Hyphomicrobiales; Reyranellaceae.
GUGUAGCAAUACACGAGUGGCGCACGGGUGAGUAACGCGUGGAUAUCUGCCUUUUGGUUCGGAAUAACCCCGGGAAACUGGGGCUAAUACCGGAUGGUUCCUACGGGAUAAAGAUUUAUCGCCAAAAGAUGAGUCCGCGUACGAUUAGCUAGUUGGUGAGGUAAUGGCUCACCAAGGCGACGAUCGUUAGCUGGUCUGAGAGGACGAUCAGCCACACUGGGACUGAGACACGGCCCAGACUCCUACGGGAGGCAGCAGUGGGGAAUAUUGGACAAUGGGGGCAACCCUGAUCCAGCCAUGCCGCGUGAGUGAUGAAGGCCUUCGGGUUGUAAAGCUCUUUUGGCGGGGACGAUGAUGACGGUACCCGCAGAAUAAGCCCCGGCUAACUUCGUGCCAGCAGCCGCGGUAAGACGAAGGGGGCUAGCGUUGUUCGGAAUUACUGGGCGUAAAGCGUGUGUAGGUGGUUGUCAUAGUCAGGUGUGAAAGCCUUGAGCUCAACUCAAGAAAUGCACUUGAUACUGGGCGACUAGAGGACCGGAGAGGAUAGUGGAAUUCCCAGUGUAGUGGUGAAAUACGUAGAGAUUGGGAAGAACACCAGUGGCGAAGGCGGCUAUCUGGACGGUUCUGACACUAA